UGCCAGCCGCCGCGGUAAUACGUAUGGUGCAAGCGUUAUCCGGAAUCACUGGGCGUAAAGCGCACGUAGGCGGAUUUUUAAGUCAGAUGUGAAAGUCCACGGCUCAACCGUGGAAGUGCAUUUGAAACUGGGGAGCUUGAGUAUUGGAGGGGGUGGUGGAAUUCCCGGUGUAGAGGUGAAAUUCGUAGAUAUCGGGAGGAAUACCGGUGGCGAAGGCGACCACCUGGCCAAAUACUGACGCUGAGGUGCGAAAGCGUGGGGAGCAAACAGGAUUAGAUA
RNAcentral lists this ribosomal RNA (279 nucleotides) under uncultured bacterium. RNAcentral's name for it is "partial 16S ribosomal RNA". It matches the Rfam family "Bacterial small subunit ribosomal RNA", at positions 506 to 784 of the family's 1533-position model. The record is from RNAcentral.